This 460-nucleotide ribosomal RNA is filed under the name uncultured bacterium. RNAcentral describes it as "partial 16S ribosomal RNA". It matches the Rfam family "Bacterial small subunit ribosomal RNA", at positions 338 to 795 of the family's 1533-position model. The record is from RNAcentral.
CCUACGGGUGGCAGCAGUGAGGAAUAUUGGUCAAUGGACGAGAGUCUGAACCAGCCAAGUAGCGUGAAGGAUGACUGCCCUAUGGGUUGUAAACUUCUUUUAUAUGGGAAUAAAAUGUUCCACGUGUGGGAUUUUGUAUGUACCAUAUGAAUAAGGAUCGGCUAACUCCGUGCCAGCAGCCGCGGUAAUACGGAGGAUCCGAGCGUUAUCCGGAUUUAUUGGGUUUAAAGGGAGCGUAGGUGGAUUGUUAAGUCAGGUGUGAAAGUUUGCGGCUCAACCGUAAAAUUGCAGUUGAAACUGGCAGUCUUGAGUACAGUAGAGGUGGGCGGAAUUCGUGGUGUAGCGGUGAAAUGCUGAGAUAUCACGAAGAACUCCGAUUGCGAAGGCAGUUCACUGGACUGCAACUGACACUGAGGCUCGAAAGUGUGGGUAUCAAACAGGAUUAGAUACCCUUGUAGUC